AUGCGCUCCUCUUGAAUGGAAGUUCUCUCAGGUCUUCGGUGAACGAGUUGCCGGAGAGGAUAUUCAGGAUGUUGAUAUCAUAUCAGCGAUUGGAUUCGAUAAGACUGGUGACAACCUUGCCAUUGGGGACCGAGGUGGUCGUGUUAUUAUAUUUGAGAGAAGGGACGGGAAGGAUACUUCAAAAGACUACCCUACACGGAAUAAGUUGGAGCAGUUGAAUCUUACUCCCGCAUGUCAUCCUGAAUACCAAUACAAGACUGAAUUUCAGAG
RNAcentral lists this unclassified non-coding RNA (270 nucleotides) under Hevea brasiliensis (rubber tree). Lineage: Eukaryota; Viridiplantae; Streptophyta; Magnoliopsida; Malpighiales; Euphorbiaceae. The record is from RNAcentral.